UACGUAGGGUGCGAGCGUUGUCCGGAAUUAUUGGGCGUAAAGGGCUCGUAGGCGGUUUGUCGCGUCGGGAGUGAAAUCCACUGGCUUAACUGGUGGCUUGCUUUCGAUACGGGCAGACUGGAGGUAUGCAGGGGAGAACGGAAUUCCUGGUGUAGCGGUGAAAUGCGCAGAUAUCAGGAAGAACACCAAUGGCGAAGGCAGCUCUCUGGGACGGUACUGACGCUGAGACGCGAAAGCGUGGGGAGCGAACAGG
Molecule: ribosomal RNA, 253 nt
Filed under: uncultured bacterium
Lineage: Bacteria
Description: partial 16S ribosomal RNA
Rfam family: Bacterial small subunit ribosomal RNA
Source: RNAcentral